Balaenoptera musculus (blue whale) is the source of this 110-nucleotide small nuclear RNA. The record is from Ensembl. NCBI's taxonomy places the organism in Eukaryota, Metazoa, Chordata, Mammalia, Artiodactyla, Balaenopteridae.
GUGCUCACUUCAGCAGCACAUAUACUAAAAUUGGAACAAUACAGAGAAGAUUAGCAUGACACCUGCUCAACGAUGUCAUACAGGAAAUUCAGGAAACAUCCCAUAUUAUU